RNAcentral lists this ribosomal RNA (620 nucleotides) under uncultured bacterium. Its description in RNAcentral is "bacterial SSU rRNA". It matches the Rfam family "Bacterial small subunit ribosomal RNA", at positions 168 to 804 of the family's 1533-position model. The record is from RNAcentral.
UCCGCAUGUUCACAUGAUUAAAGGUAUUCCGGUAGACGAUGGGGAUGCGUUCCAUUAGAUAGUAGGCGGGGUAACGGCCCACCUAGUCUUCGAUGGAUAGGGGUUCUGAGAGGAAGGUCCCCCACAUUGGAACUGAGACACGGUCCAAACUCCUACGGGAGGCAGCAGUGAGGAAUAUUGGUCAAUGGGCGAGAGCCUGAACCAGCCAAGUAGCGUGAAGGAUGACUGCCCUAUGGGUUGUAAACUUCUUUUAUAAAGGAAUAAAGUCGGGUAUGCAUACCCGUUUGCAUGUACUUUAUGAAUAAGGAUCGGCUAACUCCGUGCCAGCAGCCGCGGUAAUACGGAGGAUCCGAGCGUUAUCCGGAUUUAUUGGGUUUAAAGGGGGCGUAGAUGGAUGUUUAAGUCAGUUGUGAAAGUUUGCGGCUCAACCGUAAAAUUGCAGUUGAUACUGGAUAUCUUGAGUGCAGUUGAGGCAGGCGGAAUUCGUGGUGUAGCGGUGAAAUGCUUAGAUAUCACGAAGAACUCCGAUUGCGAAGGCAGCCUGCUAAGCUGCAACUGACAUUGAGGCUCGAAAGUGUGGGUAUCAAACAGGAUUAGAUACCCUGGUAGUCCACACGGUA